CGUCGUCGGUAGGGGAGCGUUCUAAGGGCGUCGAAGCUAGACCGGAAGGACUAGUGGAGCGCUUAGAAGUGAGAAUGCCGGUGUGAGUAGCGAAAACAGAGGUGAGAAUCCUCUGCACCGAAAGCCUAAGGUUUCCUGAGGAAGGCUCGUCCGCUCAGGGUUAGUCGGGACCUAAGCCGAGGCCGAAAGGCGUAGGCGAUGGACAACAGGUUGAUAUUCCUGUACCACCUCCUCACCGUUUGAGCAAUGGGGGGACGCAGGAGGAUAGGGUCAGCGCGCGACUGGUUGUGCGCGUCCAAGCAGUUAGGCGCCUCAAGUAGGCAAAUCCGCUUGAGUAGGCUGAGCUGUGAUGGCGAGGGAAAUAUAGUACCGAAGUGCCUGAUUCCACACUGCCAAGAAAAGCCUCUAGCGAGGUGAGAGGUGCCCGUACCGCAAACCGACACAGGUAGGCGAGGAGAGAAUCCUAAGGUGCGCGGGAGAACUCUCGUUAAGGAACUCGGCAAAAUGACCCCGUAACUUCGGGAGAAGGGGUGCUCCCUCGGGUGAAUAGCCCAGGGGAGCCGCAGUGAAAAGGCCCAAGCGACUGUUUAUCAAAAACACAGGUCUCUGCGAAGCCGUAAGGCGAAGUAUAGGGGCUGACACCUGCCCGGUGCUGGAAGGUUAAGGGGAGCGCUUAGCGCAAGCGAAGGUGCGAACCGAAGCCCCAGUAAACGGCGGCCGUAACUAUAACGGUCCUAAGGUAGCGAAAUUCCUUGUCGGGUAAGUUCCGACCCGCACGAAAGGUGUAACGACUUGGGCACUGUCUCAACGAGAGACCCGGUGAAAUCAUAGUACCUGUGAAGAUGCAGGUUACCCGCGACAGGACGGAAAGACCCCGUGGAGCUUUACUGCAGCCUGAUAUUGAAUGUUGGUGCGACAUGUACAGCAUAGGUGGGAGACUGAGAAGCCUGGACGCCAGUCUAGGUGGAGUCGCCGUUGGGAUACCACCCUUGUCGUACUGAGAUUCUAACCCGCACCCCUGAUCGGGGUGGGAGACAGUGUCAGGUGGGCAGUUUGACUGGGGCGGUCGCCUCCCAAAGCGUAACGGAGGCGCCCAAAGGUUCCCUCAGAAUGGUUGGAAAUCAUUCGUAGAGUGUAAAGGCAGAAGGGAGCUUGACUGCGAGACCUACAAGUCGAGCAGGGACGAAAGUCGGGCUUAGUGAUCCGGUGGUUCCGAAUGGAAGGGCCAUCGCUCAACGGAUAAAAGCUACCCCGGGGAUAACAGGCUUAUCUCCCCCAAGAGUCCACAUCGACGGGGAGGUUUGGCACCUCGAUGUCGGCUCAUCGCAUCCUGGGGCUGUAGUCGGUCCCAAGGGUUGGGCUGUUCGCCCAUUAAAGCGGUACGCGAGCUGGGUUCAGAACGUCGUGAGACAGUUCGGUCCCUAUCCGUCGCGGGCGUAGGAAAUUUGAGAGGAGCUGUCCUUAGUACGAGAGGACCGGGAUGGACGCACCGCUGGUGUACCAGUUGU
Molecule: ribosomal RNA, 1508 nt
Filed under: Anoxybacillus sp. ST70
Lineage: Bacteria; Bacillati; Bacillota; Bacilli; Caryophanales; Anoxybacillaceae
Description: partial 23S ribosomal RNA
Rfam family: Bacterial large subunit ribosomal RNA
Source: RNAcentral